AUGGUCCUUGGGUACUCCCAGGCGGAAGCCCAGCGAAUCGCCAAUCGCUUGAACUGUCGCUUGGGAUCCUUCCUGACCACAUACGUCGGCAUGCCAAUUAAUGACGCCCGUCUACAGGAGAAAGACUUCCGCCCAAUAAUCUCCAAGCUCCAACCUAGGAUGGAGCCUUGGCAAGGGAGGUGGCUUUCCAAGGCCGCUCGAGUGAUUCUGAUGAACUCCUCCCUUAUUAGCCUAUUGAUGUACAUUAUGGGAUUCUAUAGUCUACAUGAAUCCCUUCAUCAUGAGGUCAUCAAACUCCUCUCCAGAUUCUUCUGGGCCGGAGAGAACAAUAAACAGAAGUAUCACAUGGUAAAGUGGUCUGAGAUUUGUAAGCCUAAGGACCAGGGCAGCCUCGGGGUCAUUUCAUCCAAGCAGAUGAAUAUUGCCCUCCUCUCCAAAUGGCUUUGGCGUAUUCAGACUGAUGAGGGUUGACUGUGGCUA
This 480-nucleotide ribosomal RNA is filed under the name Triticum aestivum (bread wheat). RNAcentral's name for it is "partial small subunit ribosomal RNA". The record is from RNAcentral. Lineage: Eukaryota; Viridiplantae; Streptophyta; Magnoliopsida; Poales; Poaceae.